RNAcentral lists this ribosomal RNA (251 nucleotides) under uncultured prokaryote. RNAcentral's name for it is "partial 16S rRNA". It matches the Rfam family "Bacterial small subunit ribosomal RNA", at positions 525 to 775 of the family's 1533-position model. The record is from RNAcentral.
ACAGAGGGUGCAAGCGUUAAUCGGAGUUACUGGGCUUAAAGGGCGCGUAGGCGGAUUUUUAAGUCGGUGGUGAAAUCCCUGAGCUUAACCUGGGAAUUGCAGUCGAUACUGAAUGUCUUGAGUAUGGUAGAGGAAAGUGGAAUUCUCGGUGUAGUGGUGAAAUACGUAGAUAUCGAGAAGAACACCGGUGGCGAAGGCGACUUUCUGGACCAAUACUGACGCUGAGGCGCGAAAGCGUGGGGAGCAAACAG